GAUUCUGGCUCAGGAUGAACGCUAGCUACAGGCUUAACACAUGCAAGUCGAGGGGCAGCAUUGGGAUAGCUUGCUAUUCAGAUGGCGACCGGCGCACGGGUGAGUAACGCGUAUCCAACCUUCCUGCCAGUAGGGAACAGCCCGGCGAAAGUCGGAUUAAUGCCCUAUGUUCUUCAAUGCGGACAUCUAAGUUGAAGGAAAGAUUCAUCGCUGGCAGAUGGGGAUGCGUCCGAUUAGCUUGCCGGCGGGGUAACGGCCCACCGGGGCGACGAUCGGUAGGGGUUCUGAGAGGAAGGUCCCCCACACUGGUACUGAGACACGGACCAGACUCCUACGGGAGGCAGCAGUGAGGAAUAUUGGUCAAUGGGCGUAAGCCUGAACCAGCCAAGUAGCGUGCCAGGAUGACGGCCCUACGGGUUGUAAACUGCUUUUAUGCGGGGAUAAAGUGCGGCACGUGUGCCGCUUUGCAGGUACCGCAUGAAUAAGGACCGGCUAAUUCCGUGCCAGCCGCGGC
Molecule: ribosomal RNA, 514 nt
Filed under: uncultured bacterium
Lineage: Bacteria
Description: bacterial SSU rRNA
Rfam family: Bacterial small subunit ribosomal RNA
Source: RNAcentral